This 279-nucleotide long non-coding RNA is filed under the name Carica papaya (papaya). RNAcentral's name for it is "long non-coding RNA (CPAP_LNC014696)". The record is from RNAcentral. Lineage: Eukaryota; Viridiplantae; Streptophyta; Magnoliopsida; Brassicales; Caricaceae.
UACAGUGAAUAUUCAUUGUUUAACCAUGGAAAUAAUUAACGUGAUGCAUGAAAAUAUGAUGAUUGGAUAUUGCAUGCAGGUUUGGCCCUACGACUUACCUUAGUAAUGGUGAAGAGGGUUAUUCUAGUAGACCUUAAUUCAAGAGUGAUACUAACAAGGCUAAAAACACUCAAGAUACUCAAAGAGCAUCAAAAGGUGACUUGGAGCAAAUUUCAAAUGACGUGAACACAAAUAGAGUUUCAAACCUAGAAAGUUUCAACAGACCAGUUACAAGAUCAA